UUUGGUCACGGGACAUGGUGAUUUUCAUAUAUUGGGUUUAGCCUUCUAGAAUUUUAUUGAGAAUUUUAAUGUUUAUGCUCAUACGUUAUGCUAUAAGAAUCAAAAUGGCAUGGUGCCAAUGCUAAAGCAGAUCUGUUAUCCAUCCAUCCGUCCAUUCAUCCAUCCAUCCAUCCAUCCAUCCAUCCAUGAAUCAUCGAUAUCUACCUACCUUCUAUCUCUUAUCUAUCUCAAACCUGUUUAUCAUCAAUAUAAUUAUUGUAAUUCUAAUAAACUAGAGGAUGAUAAGAAUUACAAAAAUCUUACACAAGGUUUCCUGUAUUUAUAUUUUAGUUGUUAAAAGAUAUAAAACAAACAUUUAUAAUUUGUGUAUACUCAUAAGCCCAAAUGAAGUUAUAUGUAUUUCUAUCGUGUCUUAUGUCAAAGAAGAGUGAGACAGUUUCAGUUUUUUUCAAGAAAAACUUUUUAAAAAUAUUUUUGAACUUUAAGGGAUUUCUAAAUUUGGAAACAUGCUACGUGAAAGAAUUCAUUGUUUUUAUUCAUCAUUCAAAUAGUGAUAAAGAUGCAUAUGUAUAGGAGGGUAUGGAUUAGAGAUAGUUGUACAUAAAAGAGACAAAAGAAAGAUUCCAUCAAGUCCAGCAUGGAAAUGAGUUUAUUUUGGUUACUUACAGGAGCAUACGAGACUCAAGGCCAGUUAUACCACUGAAAAGUCUCAAUCCACAGUCAACCUUCCUUCUCUCGCAUAAUCUAAAUCCAGGAUACUGGAGUGGCGACUGGAAACUCAUGGCUCAAGGUGUCCUUGGAUGCAAUGUUUAGGUUCUUUGUGUCUUGAACAAUGAACUGGACAAGACUCACGCGCACAUACACACCAGCAGUCAUACCAAAAGUAAAGAUUACUGAAGGCGAGGAAGAAAGCAGAGUGCACGUGCCACAGGACAGGACCAGAGGUCCAGGAGGAAGGAUGUGGCUCGAACCUUGAGGUUGUCCCCCCAACCCCCUCCCACAGGAUAUCAGCAGUGACAUCUCAGGCCACUUGCGAACACCAUUCUUGAAUCAGCAAUGGCAACUCUAUUCAGAAGAGUCUUUCUGUUUAUGAAGUCACAACCAGGAAACAAUGACCAGUGAAGAAGGCAAGACAAACCAAUGCUACAGUGUCAUCAUCCAAGCCCAAUGAAGACCAGCAAAGCGUGGUAAGGCGAACCAAUUCCACAUAGCAUUGUUCAUUGUCUGUUCUACCCUUUCCAAACAUCAUGUGUUCUCUCAAGUGUCUACUCUAGCAAAAUGACACAUACUCGUUUUCCACGAAGCUUCCAGAAAAACGCCACAUGUCUGUUAACAAAACAUCCUCUAAUAAGGCAGUUUCCAGAAAAAAAAAAUCACAUGACACAACUGAGUCUCCACUGAAACCAAAUAUUUCUACUUUAGACUAUCCCUUUAAAGACUGGUCUCAGAAAUAGAGGAUGCACUCAUGGGUCAGCCUGUUUAGUAAGAAGGGGAAGAGUCAGCUUUUUCAUUAGAGGAGUAUCAGCUUUCAAUUGCCUUUAAUCUGCUGUGCAUAGUUUAGAGAAUUAAUUUUAAUCUCUUGGCAUUAGUACAACAAAGUGCCUCUGAUGGGCUAAAUUUACAAAGAAAAACCAGUUCAUUUAGCUUAGGAUUCUAGAGAUUGCAUGGCAUAUCCCUUAAGAAUCUAUUCCCUGAAGCACCACAUACUUGAAUCAUAGAAUGUGGAGAAAUAUUCUGGAAAGAAGCUUCAUCUCAAUGUGUAGAUUUACAGUGCUAACAGGCACAUUCAGGCCAUCAGAGAAGAAAAGCAACCAUCACUAUCACCCAGCCAUGAAGCCACAAUAAUUACUGGCCUGACAAGACAUGCUUACUCAUGCAGUAGCAUCAUGGAUGUUAUGGAAGUACCAACCACUUUCUGAUCGGACUUCAGUCUCACUCCACAAUUUUAAGCCCAUGCUCAACACCACAAUUGGGUCAUGAAAUCUGUGCUUUGACAGGUCCUAGGCCCUAGGGGAGAAGGUAAAACUAUUAUUUUAUUAAAUGGACAUAGUAUUAAACUAACUCCUAGUGACUUAUAAUUUUACCUAUAGAUAAUGAAUCUCUCAACCCUGAUCAGAAAAGCUUCUACUUACAACAUUUGGUGAUUAGUUUAGCACAGAGACUCACAACUGAUGAACAUGCAAAGAAUAAGAGAAUGGAGAAAGAUCAACCCUAAAUCGAGCAAUACAUUCCAUUCUUUCCUCCAAAGGCUUGGGGACCAUCGUAGAAGAGUGAGUGAAAAGAGAAUAGAGACAAGAUGGUAGUUGACUACAAGGGACCAGCACUCCUGUACACAGCAGGGCAGCUGCUCAUAUGAAUUCACUGUGGUAGCAUGCACAUCUGUGCAAGCUCAUGCCAGACGAAAGCCAAGCAAGAUGUGAGCUGGUCACACAAUCCCUUCUCUAGCUGUGCACUUAUUGACAAUUGUUAUUUGCUUAGAGAGGAAGUGUCUAUUUUCUAUAAGAGCCUGGCCUCAGGUUAGACAAUUGUGUCUCAUUGUAAGGCCACAUGUCUAACAAUAGUUGAGAAGCACAAAUUAAAGUUGAUCAGAAAACAAAACAAAAAGUGCAAAGUUGGGUGACGAGGUAAGGCAGCUGGAUCUAGGGAAAGUUAGGAAAAAGGAUAAAUAAGAUUAAGACACAAAUUCUCAAAGAACUAGCAAUAAGAAAAAGAAGGGAGGCAUGGGAUUAUAAUAGCAGCCUUUUGUGUAGGAAGAGGUCAAGGCCAGAGAAUGACUUAGAAUCUAGACUCAUUAGCUUCUUUCCCUGGUGCUGUGAUAAAAUACUCUGACAAGGGCAGUUUCAAAGAGACAGGGUUUAUUCGGCUUAUAAUUUAAAUUUCAGUCCAUUGUUGUAGUGAAGUCAAGAUGGCAGAAACUUGAAUCAAUAAGUCUUUUCCAUAAUUAAGAGCAGAGUGGGAGAGUGAGAGAGCACAAGAGCGAGAUACACACACACACACACACAAACACACAAACACACACACACAGAUACACACACACACAAACACACACAGAGAGAGAUACACACACACACACACACAUACAGAGAGAGAGAGAGAGAGAGAGAGAGAGAGAGAGAGAGAGAGAGAAUACACUCACACCAGUGCUCAGCUUCUGUUCUCUGCUCUUAGAGAGUCCAGUAGCCUCUGCCAGUGAAAUAGUGCUGCCCACAGUGAAUAUAUUAAAGUAUUAAAAAUCAGCUUCCACAGACAUGCCAACAGGUCAACCCAACGGAGAUGACUUUCAACAAGAUUCCUUUCCCAGUUAAUUUCUAGAUUUUCAAGGUGACAAUUUAAAAUAACCAUGGCAGGUUUCUUAUAACACUUGUCAUGAGAAUUGGAGGCCCCAUGACAAUUACCAUUGAAGGGAAGCACUCUAAAUGACCUAACAACUUUCCACCAGACCCCUUCUUUCAAAGUGCACUGGGGAUCAAGCUAAAUCACAGAAAGCCUUGGAGAAGAAACUACACUCAAACCAUCACAGUCAUUAUAACAUUGCAAGACAAGGUCCAUAUGAAUAUAACAAAUAGUUUCUUUAACACAUUGCUCAGUUUUUAAACAUAUAUUCAUUUAAUUAUGCACACGAAACACAAAUACAUGUUUGUUAGAGGAGAAGUGAAUAUACAAAAAAAAUAAAACUUCUUCUAGGACCCCUUUUCCAAUUGCUCUACUUUCUGGGAUCAAAAAUAGAGGUGGGAUGGGAUAGGGGGUUUGCAAAGGGGAAACUGAGAAAGGAGAUAACAUUUGAAAUGUACAUAAAUAAAAUAUCUAAUAAAAAUUAUUAGUACACUACUGUGUAUCCAUCUGCAGCUUACAUGUGAAUUUACAUGUCUGCAUAUCUCUUACCGUGUUACAUUUGGUUCUGAUAUAUUUGGUACUAGAUGCAUGCAGAAAACAUGUACAAAAAAAAUGACAGUAGGAAUGUCCACUCUGUUCCCAGUUACUCCUAUUUGUUAUCAUUUUUUUGUUUCAGAAAAAUAUUAAUUUUCCAACUGUAAAUUGAUGAAAUAUAAAUGCUUCAAGCUUCCAUUUCCUAAAGACCAUUUUGCUUAUCACCAGUCAUAGGUUUAUACUGCAUGACAGAAAUGUAGAUAGGUGAUGGGUCUGUAAUAACAUGAAUGUCAACAAGCUCGAUUUCACUUUAAAUGCCAUUUGUAAGCAUUUAGUGCUAAAUAUUUCCCUCAAAACAAGUGAUUCCUAGUUUUUAAAACUUUAAUAAAAGUCUUAUGAUUUCUAUAUAAAAUGAUUUUGUUUUUAAAAUUUUCAUAUAUAUAUAUAUAUAUGAAUGAAACACAUAGAAGAAAGCA
Rattus norvegicus (Norway rat) is the source of this 4343-nucleotide non-coding RNA. NCBI's taxonomy places the organism in Eukaryota, Metazoa, Chordata, Mammalia, Rodentia, Muridae. The record is from RefSeq and is a predicted model, not a curated record.